GAUGAAGAACGCAGCGAAAUGCGAUAAGUAAUGUGAAUUGCAGAAUUCAGUGAAUCAUCGAAUCUUUGAACGCACAUUGCGCCCGCUAGUAUUCUGGCGGGCAUGCCUGUCCGAGCGUCAUUUCAACCCUCAAGCCCCCGGGCUUGGUGUUGGGGAUCGGCGAGCCUCCGCGCCCGCCGUCCCCUAAAUCUAGUGGAGGUCUCGCUGUAGCUUCCUCUGCGUAGUAGCACACCUCGCACUGGGAAACAGCGCGGCCACGCCGUUAAACCCCCAACUUCUGAACGUUUGACCUCGGAUCAGGUAGGAAUACCCGCUGAACUUAAGCAUAUCAAUAAGCGGAGGA
This 343-nucleotide unclassified non-coding RNA is filed under the name soil metagenome. RNAcentral's name for it is "partial contains 5.8S ribosomal RNA, internal transcribed spacer 2, and large subunit ribosomal RNA". The stretch from base 1 to 120 matches the Rfam family "5.8S ribosomal RNA", at positions 35 to 154 of the family's 154-position model. The record is from RNAcentral.